UACAGAGGUCCCAAGCGUUGUUCGGAUUCACUGGGCGUAAAGGGCGCGUAGGUGGCGACCCAAGUCCAUGGUGAAAGCUCGAUGCUCAACAUCGAGUCGGCCACGGAUACUGGGUUGCUCGAGCACUGUAGAGGCUAAUGGAAUUCCGGGUGUAGCGGUGAAAUGCGUAGAGAUCGGGAGGAACACCUGUGGCGAAGGCGGCCGACUGGGCCGACCCUGACGCUGAGGCGCGAAGGCGUGGGGAGCGAACGGG
This 253-nucleotide ribosomal RNA is filed under the name uncultured bacterium. RNAcentral's name for it is "partial 16S ribosomal RNA". It matches the Rfam family "Bacterial small subunit ribosomal RNA", at positions 524 to 776 of the family's 1533-position model. The record is from RNAcentral.